This 467-nucleotide ribosomal RNA is filed under the name uncultured bacterium. RNAcentral's name for it is "partial 16S ribosomal RNA". It matches the Rfam family "Bacterial small subunit ribosomal RNA", at positions 28 to 507 of the family's 1533-position model. The record is from RNAcentral.
GACGAACGCUGGCGGCGUGCUUAACACAUGCAAGUCGAACGGAAAGGCCUCUUUCGGGGGGUACUCGAGUGGCGAACGGGUGAGUAACACGUGAGUAACCUGCCCUUGACUUUGGGAUAACUUCAGGAAACUGGGGCUAAUACCGGAUAGGAGCUCCUGCUGCAUGGUGGGGGUUGGAAAGUUUCGGCGGUUGGGGAUGGACUCGCGGCUUAUCAGCUUGUUGGUGGGGUAGUGGCUUACCAAGGCUUUGACGGGUAGCCGGCCUGAGAGGGUGACCGGCCACAUUGGGACUGAGAUACGGCCCAGACUCCGACGGGAGGCAGCAGGGGGGAAUAUUGCACAAUGGGUGGAAGCCUGAUGCAGCAACGCCGUGUGCGGGAGGACGGCCUUCGGGUUGGAAACCGCUUUCGCUCAUGACGAAGCUUUGUGUGACGGUAGUGGGUAAAGAAGCACCGGCUAACUACGUG